RNAcentral lists this ribosomal RNA (303 nucleotides) under uncultured bacterium. RNAcentral describes it as "partial 16S ribosomal RNA". It matches the Rfam family "Bacterial small subunit ribosomal RNA", at positions 507 to 807 of the family's 1533-position model. The record is from RNAcentral.
AGCAGUAGCCGCGGGAAUACGGAGGGGGCUAGCGUUGUUCGGAAUUACUGGGCGUAAAGCGCACGUAGGCGGCUUGGUAAGUUAGAGGUGAAAGCCCGGAGCUCAACUCCGGAAUUGCCUUUAAGACUGCCGAGCUAGCAGGUGAGAGAGGUAAGUGGAAUUCCGAGUGUAGAGGUGAAAUUCGUAGAUAUUCGGAAGAACACCAGUGGCGAAGGCGGCUUACUGGCUCAUACUGGACGCUGAGGUGCGAAAGCGUGGGGAGCAAACGGGAUUAGAUACCCGUGUAGUCCCUGUCUCUUAUAC